RNAcentral lists this ribosomal RNA (482 nucleotides) under uncultured bacterium. RNAcentral describes it as "partial 16S ribosomal RNA". It matches the Rfam family "Bacterial small subunit ribosomal RNA", at positions 30 to 507 of the family's 1533-position model. The record is from RNAcentral.
AUUGAACGCUGGCGGCAUGCCUUACACAUGCAAGUCGAACGGUAACAGGUCUUCGGCUGCUGCCGAGUGGCGGCCGGGUGCGUAAUACAUCGGAACGUACCCAGACGUGGGGUAUCACGAGGCGAAAGCUUUGCUAAUAUCCCCUACGAUCUCAGGAUGACAGCAGGUGACCGCAAGGCCUCUUCCGUUCGGAGCGGCUGAUGGCAGAUUAGGUAGUUGGUGGGAUAAAAGCUUACCAAGCCGACGAUCUGUAGCUGGUCUGAGAGGACGACCAGCCACACUGGGACUGAGACACGGUCCAGACUCCUACGGGAGGCAGCAGUGGGGAAUUUUGGACAAUGGGCGAAAGCCUGAUCCAGCCAUGCCGCGUGCGGGAAGAAGGCCUUCGGGUUGUAAAGUGCUUUUGUUGGGAACGAAAAGGAGCUGGCUAAUACCUGGGGGUCAUGACGGUACCGUAAGAAUAAGCACCGGCUAACUACGUG